This 1947-nucleotide long non-coding RNA is filed under the name Taeniopygia guttata (zebra finch). Its description in RNAcentral is "lncRNA (ENSTGUG00000020748.1)". The record is from RNAcentral. Lineage: Eukaryota; Metazoa; Chordata; Aves; Passeriformes; Estrildidae.
AGCACAUUUCAGAUAGAAACAUGGAAUAGAGCCUGAUCACAAAUACUGCUGGAUUUUCAGUAAUUCACAUUACCUAAACCGAAAUGAAAACCUUGGUCUUUUGCUGUUCUGAAUCAAUAUUUUGUUUCAACAAAUCAUACUGUGAGAUGGGAAAAGAGUCCAGAAGUCUUCUAGAGCCUGCGUGGUUUUUCCUACACUUCACACACAUGUGGGAAGCAGAAGAAAGGCCAAGACAACCUACUGAGAGACAAAAGAACGCUUAGAUUAUUGGACAAGCAAGAGAUUUUAGUACAUGAGAGGCUGAGAAAAUAUAAAUGUCAAUGUAAAUUGCAAAUUGUAUACAUGAAUUAGCAAAUUUUCCUUUUUGUCUUUAGCACAUUAUUUGAAUUUCUACUACUCUACCCAUCCUUAUCCUUUUGUUGUCAAGUAAAAUUUAUGUUUGUACCACAGUUAAGCACUUCUGAAGCAUUUUAAAUGAUUGUAUUUCAAGAUAUAUAGUAAUUUUUGUUUUUUAAACAUCUUCUCUAGAGGAUCUGCUCUCUUAAAAACUGGGUUUCAGAGACAAAGGGAAACUCUGUGUUGACCAAAGGUAAAACAGUAAGCCUAUGACAAAGGGCUGCAAAUAACCAGAUAAGCUGUGAAUUCUGAUGAGCCAAGAAAUUACAUGAUUCUUUUCCACUAAACUUACUAAAAGUACACAUCUAGACUUCUUUCUUUAAGAAAAAAGGUACUUAAGCAAGGUCAUACGGAGGUCAUAAAGCAAGCUCAUUUAGUGUGGAAACUGGAGCAGUGUGCUCUGCAUGUUCAGAAACUAUAAGCAUUCCAGAAAGUGGGAAAUUCAUACAGCGUCUCUGUGUAACAGCUACCUAGAGUGCCAUGUUUUCCCUGCUUUCAUCCUUUUUUUUUUUUUUUUUUUUUUUUUUUUGUAGUCACAAACAGGCUCAAGAUCAAAUUUACUGUGUUAAAAAUGAGCAUCUAAAUAGAUAAGAUUGCCAAGGCCUUUUUAUUCCUAAGGAUGACAUCAGUGACAACUUGCUAUGGAUUUUUGUCAAUCUUGCAGGAGUUGAAGUGUUUCUGAUUUUUCCUUGGUGAGUCCAUUUGUAAAUCCACCUACCACUGCCAUUGUGAUAAAAUAAAUUAUCAAAAUAAUGUGAUCAUUAUUUGGGUACAGUCAUUUUCUCCACAGGAUGCUCACUCCCCUCAUUUCUGUUCUCCACACUUUCUUCCACUUCAUCAAGUCUAUCCUUUUACUGACCUUUCCAUGAAAUGACAUCUUCCAGUUAUUCUUCUGGCUAUUAAAUGUAUUUUUAAAAUUUUCUGCAUGAUUUUCCUUGGAUCUACCUAUCAGAUGUCCUUGUCUACCUUCUAUUUCUAGUUUCCCUUAAUUUUUUCAGUUGUUCUUUGGGUCCUUUGAAGCUUCCUUGGGUGUUAUGUGUCUCUCCCACUCCUUCUCCACCCUGCCUGCCAAAGUAUUCCAUAGUUCUGUAAGACAAAGACUCAUUUUUUCAGAAAACACAAAUCCUAUCCAAUCCAAGUUUUAUCAGUCAAUUUUUCUUUGCCACAUGACUGCAUCAAACACUAAAUGAGAAAAGUAUCCAGGCAAGAGAAUCAAACAAUAUGUAGGUGAGAUAACAAGAAACAUGAAUGGUUCCAAUAAGUUUGGAGUUGUAAAGUCUUUUCUUCUUGCUCUGUUCUGCCUUUUUUUUUUUCAUCUGGGAGACAUAAAAUUGGAUCACAAAUUCUUCUUGGCAGAGGGGGUGUCUUUUAUUUAUUUGUGCUUUAAUGCACCUAGCCCAGCAUGUAAAGAACCACAUCAUUAAACAUAUAAAAUUUCUUUUUUCUUUUUAAUAAACUUUGAAAAGAAUGAUGAAUAACAUCAAAUUGUAUUUUAGCUUCCAGUUUUGAACUGGCAGUAAAAUCCCAUCUAUUAACUUUGCUUUUCUUACC